GAUCCGCCGGGGUGCUUCACCUGGCGGGCAAGAAAUCAUGACAGAAGUCCGGCGAAUGGGGUUCAGCCUGAGCGAGCGCUGCACGCCACCAACAGCGCCACCGCAGGCCCUCUUGCCGGCGCACCCGCGCGACUGCGCGUGGCUCCGUUGAGGGGAUCCGCCGGGGUGCUUCACCUGGCAGGCAAGAAAUCACGGUAGAAGUCCGGCGAUGGGGAUUCAGCCUGAGCGAGCGCCGCACGUCACGGCGGGAGGGGCCACGAGCGCUGAAUCGAGAACAAGUUGCACAAAAGCUUCUGGAUAUUUGGUUUAUUCAUUCAGAAGAUCAGGUGGCUGAUGGCUUCAUAGAGGCACUUCCCGAGCGACAGCUGCUCACAUUUCGAAGUAAUCUCAACUUGACAGAAAGUUGUGGUUAACGGAGGGUGUUAAGAUAUCAGUGGUAGCUUGUUCCCUUGUAUGAGUGAUUGAUUCUUGUAUUUCUAGAUUAGGAAUGCUAGCACAAAUUGUUUUAUUUCCUUUCUCUGUAAUCAUGUAAUGCAAGCUACACUUGUACAAGCCACACUCAGGGGCUGUUCUUGGCUAUGUAACACGGAACCGUGAUCCCUAAUGGGCAUCAUGGUAACUCCAAUUUCACAAUCAUUGCAGUUUAUCCUA
Molecule: long non-coding RNA, 651 nt
Organism: Sorghum bicolor (sorghum)
Lineage: Eukaryota; Viridiplantae; Streptophyta; Magnoliopsida; Poales; Poaceae
Exons: 2
Source: RefSeq, a predicted model, not a curated record